RNAcentral lists this ribosomal RNA (492 nucleotides) under uncultured bacterium. Its description in RNAcentral is "partial 16S ribosomal RNA". It matches the Rfam family "Bacterial small subunit ribosomal RNA", at positions 29 to 507 of the family's 1533-position model. The record is from RNAcentral.
AGUGAACGCUGGCGGUAGGCCUAACACAUGCAAGUCGAACGGCAGCACAGUAAGAGCUUGCUCUUACGGGUGGCGAGUGGCGGACGGGUGAGGAAUACAUCGGAAUCUACUUUUUCGUGGGGGAUAACGUAGGGAAACUUACGCUAAUACCGCAUACGACCUACGGGUGAAAGCAGGGGAUCUUCGGACCUUGCGCGAUUAAAUGAGCCGAUGUCGGAUUAGCUAGUUGGCGGGGUAAAGGCCCACCAAGGCGACGAUCCGUAGCUGGUCUGAGAGGAUGAUCAGCCACACUGGAACUGAGACACGGUCCAGACUCCUACGGGAGGCAGCAGUGGGGAAUAUUGGACAAUGGGCGCAGGCCUGAUCCAGCCAUACCGCGUGGGUGAAGAAGGCCUUCGGGUUGUAAAGCCCUUUUGUUGGGAAAGAAAAGCAGCAGGUUAAUACCCCGCUGUUCUGACGGUACCCAAAGAAUAAGCACCGGCUAACUUCGUG